GAUGAAGAACGCAGCGAAUUGCGAUAUGUAAUGUGAAUUGCAGAAUUCAGUGAAUCAUCGAAUCUUUGAACGCACAUUGCGCCCGCCAGUAUUCUGGCGGGCAUGCCUGUCUGAGCGUCAUUUCAACCCUCAUGCCCCUAGGGCGUGGUGUUGGGGAUCGGCCAAAGCCCGCGAGGGACGGCCGGCCCCUAAAUCUAGUGGCGGACCCGUCGUGGCCUCCUCUGCGAAGUAGUGAUAUUCCGCAUCGGAGAGCGACGAGCCCCUGCCGUUAAACCCCCAACUUUCCAAGGUUGACCUCAGAUCAGGUAGGAAUACCCGCUGAACUUAAGCAUAUCAAUAAGCGGAGGA
Molecule: unclassified non-coding RNA, 348 nt
Filed under: soil metagenome
Description: partial contains 5.8S ribosomal RNA, internal transcribed spacer 2, and large subunit ribosomal RNA
Rfam family: 5.8S ribosomal RNA (bases 1-120)
Source: RNAcentral